GCCGGUGCGAGCAGGGAGGAAGGCGAGCGGCGCGGCCUUGGGAGGAGGACAGCGGCCGGCACGGGUAGGGGUAGUAAAGUUUCAAAUAGCAUGCUAAAUAGUUUAGAGUCAGUCUCCUCCUGACGAUACAUAUGUUAUAACAAUGUUUUGUUAAACAAAUGACACAUAUGACUCAUAUAUAAACAACGGAUUUCAAUAAAUAUUUUAACAUACUAGCAGAAUGUCCGUGCGCUGCCACUGUCCAGGCAAGUCACUUUUGGGUCUUCUCUUCUUUUUGUCUUCUUUUCUUUUUUUCUUCUUGGGCCACACCCGUUUUUCCUCUUGGGCCAACUUCCCCGAUAAAGCCAAGCCCAUGCUCACGGGAGCACUCGUGCCCGUCUUCCUCCUCGUGCCAAAAGCAGCACACACACGCGCCAUCCGCCGCAAUCUCCACCCUCGACGAUGCCUCCUCGGCCUGUGACCCGUCCAGGUGCUCUGAACCGUAUCCCACGGCCAUUCCCUUUCUUUUCCCCUCCUCAAUCAUCCCUCAUAAUCACGGCUGAACCGCCUUAGCGCGCGUUAUCGUAGCGGCUCCUGUUGGCCCGAUCAACAUGCCGGGAAUGAGGGCUGAGAGAAUGAACCGGUUCCCCUGUUUUCUCUGAAUUUAAACGGUGUUUGACAAGAUGGAGCCUGCAUGCCAGAGCCGCCGGCUCUCGGAUGGAAGGAGGCACCACAUCCUGGACCAUAUGCUG
This 731-nucleotide long non-coding RNA is filed under the name Brachypodium distachyon (stiff brome). Its description in RNAcentral is "long non-coding RNA (BDIS_LNC004837)". Lineage: Eukaryota; Viridiplantae; Streptophyta; Magnoliopsida; Poales; Poaceae. The record is from RNAcentral.